AGAAAAACAACAUGGAUCAGAUUUAUAGGAUCUCAUCAACUUUUGUGAACCAGAAUAUAUAUAUAUAUACAUUACAUAGAUGCGACUUCCAAGUUGCGACCGAAAUGAAAUGAAAUGCCCAUCAAUAUCAUGAUAAUUAAUAAUGGAAGAGGCGCAUUCGGUGGAUUCGGGAAGGCAGAAACGGGAAAAGAAGCAACGCAGGCAGUGCAGUUGGAAGAAUGACAAGCCCACAAAACCGACGGAUGUUUGGGAAGAAUCAUCGUCCGGAAACAAUCCGAAAGCCUUUUGGAGGAGUUAUUGUUAUGCUGCGGAGCCAUGGCCCGCGAGACCAACGGGAUGGGGAAAAGAAUUCGAAGAAGAAGACUCCCAGCCGCCGCCGCCGGCCGGUUCAAACGCACGUGGUCAAAUAAAUACUCUCUUUUAAUCCCCGCCGUUUUCAGUCAAUAACCCCCGGUCGUUAUCUAGAAUGUUCUUGUCGCGUUACUUUUACAGCGGUUGGAAUUUUAACUAAGAAACAGAUUACUCACGUACCUUUUGAGAUUAUAGUAUUUAUUAUUUAAUGAUUAAUAAAUCUCAUCUGAAAAUGUCUACCAAAUAAUAUUUAGAUCUUGGGAAGAAAUUAAACAAAACAUUUUAAUGUUGGACUCCUCUAAAUAAAAUUAAACAUAAAAAUAUUCAUUCUCGUUAUCAAGUGAAAUUUAAAUCUUCAUCCCCAGCAUAUUCCAGUUUUGUUCAUUUGUUUUCGGUGAAGUUUAAGAGAGAUGAAAUGGAAAAAACUGGAUGUGGAUUUUGAAUCUGG
RNAcentral lists this long non-coding RNA (799 nucleotides) under Citrus sinensis (sweet orange). RNAcentral's name for it is "long non-coding RNA (CSIN_LNC000990)". Lineage: Eukaryota; Viridiplantae; Streptophyta; Magnoliopsida; Sapindales; Rutaceae. The record is from RNAcentral.